RNAcentral lists this long non-coding RNA (1333 nucleotides) under Sinocyclocheilus grahami. RNAcentral's name for it is "lncRNA (ENSSGRG00000009715.1)". Lineage: Eukaryota; Metazoa; Chordata; Actinopteri; Cypriniformes; Cyprinidae. The record is from RNAcentral.
CUGUGAUAAUGCAGACUAUCUGGCUCUUUGAACCCAGGGUGUCUUCAGCAUGUCUCUGCAUGUCAUUUUGGGUAUUCUGUGUACGUGUGCAUCCUUACGUCUGUCGUUUUGAUGCCCAAGUUUGCUCAUUCCAGGGUCUGUCUUCAAACGUCAGCUGACUUGCCACGGUUUGUUUUGUUCAUCACUGUUGUUAUCACCCAGCUCUGAGUCGUGAGUCUGUUCUUCUCGUAUUUUAUGUCUUCCUUUGGGGGAGGGGGAAGGGGAGUUGACCAAUUGCUAGCAGCUGUUACUCUUUUCACAAUAGGGCCGCCUCUCGAGCCCAGUGUGUGCGAGUGUGACUGAGAGUUAUGUUAUGAAACCAGGCACACUGCUGCUCGACUUCACCCCUCUUCGCUUGACAGUACUUUCCCUUCAGAAGUCCUAGUGGUGCCGGGAGACUCCCACGUGUGAAAGCCAGAGCUCAAAACCAACUAAUUAACUGGCAACGACCCUCCCAACCCUUUCCCUUGAGGAGCACUUUUAAACCCCAGUUUCAUCAAAACACUGCUUCAACCCUUCCUCAGGAGAACGCUCAUGUGCUUACAAGGUGACCAGACGUUCUUGGGAACGCAGACUUGCAACACAAGGAAAGUAGCACGAUGACAUGCCGGCUGCCCUCGAGGCUUCUGCUGUGGUUCAUUGGGUUAUUGGGUGUCGCGUUAUUGACGUUAUUCGUGGUUUGCAUGACUACGCAGAUUCAGGUGCCAUGGCAAGUGAUGAGUCUCCCAAGUAAACAUUUCAGGUUUUUUUCUGGCAAGAAUGACAGCAGUUCUUUGGAAUAUCAACCGUCUGCUGAGAAUGAACUGGACACUGCUGAAGAGCUGGGGCAAAAUUCCUUGCAGAAAUCAGAUGUUCAGAAGUCAGGAAAUGAUGCAAAGUCUGAUCAAGCAAAGUCAAUCACAAACUCCUUAAAACCAGUGGCAAAACCCACUGAGCUGGACUUUUUUGGUGACCGGUAUGCCACAGAUGACAUUCCUUCACAAACAGUGAGUGUGUUUUGAGCCUAGUAUUAUGUACUAUCGUGUCUAUGUUAGUAUCGUGAGUGAGUGUAGAAGCCACCUGCUUAAAGUCAGUUUCAUUGAAGUGUUUGUACAAAUGCUGUGGUCAUUCAAAUGUAAUGGUCAUUCAAAUUCAGCAAAAAGCCAGCGGAUGUCCGGAGAAAAAGCAAAGCAGUAUGUAGUAAGCUAAGGUUAGUCAGUCACAACAGAACAGCAACAAUUUAUUUAGGUGACACUGAAAAAUAUUAAAUUAAAUGUCCCAAAUUAAAACAACCAAACAUUACAACUCAACUGUG